Molecule: ribosomal RNA, 443 nt
Filed under: uncultured Bacteroidota bacterium
Lineage: Bacteria; Pseudomonadati; Bacteroidota
Description: bacterial SSU rRNA
Rfam family: Bacterial small subunit ribosomal RNA
Source: RNAcentral
CCUGGCUCAGGAUGAACGCUAGCGAUAGGCUUAACACAUGCAAGUCGAGGGGCAGCACAUGAGUGGCGACACGAUGGUGGCGACCGGCGCACGGGUGAGUAACACGUAUGCGACCUGCCCGUAACUGGGGGAUAACCCGUCGAAAGGCGGACUAAUACCGCAUAAGGAUGCGAGACUGCAUGGUUUCGCAUUUAAAGAUUUAUCGGUUACGGAUGGGCAUGCGUUCCAUUAGGUAGUUGGUGGGGUAACGGCCCACCAAGCCUGCGAUGGAUAGGGGUUCUGAGAGGAAGGUCCCCCACACUGGUACUGAGACACGGACCAGACUCCUACGGGAGGCAGCAGUGAGGAAUAUUGGUCAAUGGGCGAGAGCCUGAACCAGCCAAAUCGCGUGAAGGAUGAAGGUAUUAUGUAUUGUAAACUUCUUUUGUCAGGGAAUAAAGUGC